This 443-nucleotide ribosomal RNA is filed under the name uncultured bacterium. RNAcentral's name for it is "partial 16S ribosomal RNA". It matches the Rfam family "Bacterial small subunit ribosomal RNA", at positions 338 to 795 of the family's 1533-position model. The record is from RNAcentral.
CCUACGGGUGGCUGCAGUGGGGAAUAUUGGGCAAUGGGCGCAAGCCUGACCCAGCAACGCCGCGUGAAGGAAGAAGGCUCUCGGGUUGUAAACUUCUUUUAUCAGGGACGAAGCAAGUGACGGUACCUGAUGAAUAAGCCACGGCUAACUACGUGCCAGCAGCCGCGGUAAUACGUAGGUGGCAAGCGUUAUCCGGAUUUACUGGGUGUAAAGGGAGUGUAGGCGGGAAAGCAAGUCAGAUGUGAAAACCAUGGGCUCAACCUGUAGCGUGCAUUUGAAACUGUUUUUCUUGAGUACAGGAGAGGCGGGCGGAAUUCGUGGUGUAGCGGUGAAAUGCGUAGAUAUUAGGAAGAACACCAGUGGCGAAGGCAGUCUACUGGACAGCAACUGACACUGAGGCGCGAAAGCGUGGGGAGCAAACAGGAUUAGAUACCCCAGUAGUC